RNAcentral lists this transfer RNA (66 nucleotides) under Margarites vorticiferus. Its description in RNAcentral is "tRNA-Phe". The record is from RNAcentral. Lineage: Eukaryota; Metazoa; Mollusca; Gastropoda; Trochida; Margaritidae.
GCUUUUAGUAGCUCAAAAUUAGAGCAUAGCAUUGAAGCUGCUAAGGUGGGAUAUCUCCCCUAGGGU